This 674-nucleotide long non-coding RNA is filed under the name Prunus dulcis (almond). RNAcentral describes it as "sRNA ncRNA". The record is from RNAcentral. Lineage: Eukaryota; Viridiplantae; Streptophyta; Magnoliopsida; Rosales; Rosaceae.
UCGUCAAAUCAAUCCAAAAUUAUAAAAAAUAUGUAUAUAUUUUUAAUUUCCUUCCCUUAUCUCUUUCUUUCUUCUUCUUCUCUCUCUUUCUUUUCUUCUUCUUCUUUCUCUCCGCCAGAUUCCUUCUCUCUUCUCUCUCUCCGUUUCUCUCCUUUUUACGUAUAAAACUAAAAUAAAAUAAUUUCACCGCAAUUCGCAGUCGCUUCCCAUUUCCAGUCCUCCCCUCCCCUCCCCUCCCCUCUCUUCUUCCUCUUCCUCAGACUCUUGUCCAGUUUCGUUUUCUUCAUUUGAUUGGUUCUUGCUCUUCAUUUUCAUUUUCUCCAGUUCUUCUUGUGUAUCCAGUUACCCAGCCCUCCCUUUCUUCGGCUCUUCUUCUUCCUUUUCAGUUCGUCUUCUUUGGAAGUUGAUGCUUGAGGUGUUAAAUAUCAGCAUUUGGUCAUUUAGAAGAGGUAAGCGCAUUGUAUCUUGUGUCCUUUCGAUGCUGUUUCAAUUUCUUGCUUUGAGUGCAUUUUUCUAACAUUUGCUUUGAGUGUAUAAAUUUGAGAAAAUGUUAUAAAUACAGAUGAGAUGCUGCUGAAAUUUUGACCGAUGUUUUCACUGAAUGAACAAAAUUUUUGGCCAAAGCUUUUGCCCGAAACAUUGUGAUCCUGGUGGGCCCUGGUUCGAUCUCUCGU